This 176-nucleotide unclassified non-coding RNA is filed under the name uncultured fungus. RNAcentral describes it as "sequence contains ITS1". Lineage: Eukaryota; Fungi. The record is from RNAcentral.
UUCAUUCAUUUAAUCAAUACUCUGACGCAAAGAGACAGCGUUCGGUGGUCCUCCGGGGGCGGCGGCGGACGCUCUGCCCCCGAGGCAAAAAGGGUUGGUCAACAAUGGGUUGGGGACGGGGGCGCGGGGGCCCGCCAUCUUUGGUAAUGAUCCCUCCGCAGGUUCACCUACGGAGA